CAAAGAAUUCCACGUUCAGGUUUCACACAUACCCAGGGCUGAAAGACAAAUCUAAAAUCCUUGACAUUCCCACAGACUGUUAACACAAGCUACCAGCACUAGAUCUCAUGAAUGGUCAUUCACUUGUAGCUAACUUUUCAUCAACCUUUCCUUCUAGCGUCCUUUUUGUCUCAUGUGCUUGCUACCUCCUGGCAGAUGCCAUGUUCCCCUCUGCUGAUCCCUUGCUCUCCACCAGGUUCUGGGACAGAAGGAAGCCUGGAUGCUGUUGCCGUGAGCUGUCAGCUGGCAUGUACGAUGGAUAGAAGCGGACUGGUUUGUGGGCUUUUCCUGACGUCAAGGUGUCUGUGCAUGUAAACUCAUCAACCAGAUGCUGGAAUUCAUGUGCCAUCUCUGAGCCCUCAUGCCCAGUCCUGACCCACGUGGAGCUCUGUCAUCAUUGGAGGAAUGGGUACAGGCUGAUUCAAGACAAACAUCAUCUAUGCAACUUUAUCAAGAUGUAAUAAUCUUAGCACUUUGAUUCAGCUCUAACACCAGAACAUCUUGGCCUCCCUGAUGUCCCCAGGUUAGCAUAUGGAUGGUAACUGAGAGGCCUGGCUAAUGUAAGGAUGGAUCACAUCUUUAGGAAGCAUUUGAAUAGCAUCUUCAAGGAGGAGAAAGGUGCAAGGAGAAAGGCUCAUCAAGUUGCAAGGAUAAAGGAUCAUCAGGCAUUCCAGGGUACAGACAGCCUGACUGCCUGCAGUCAGAGGUUACCUGUCAGACUCCUAGAAGAGGCAGAGAGCUCCUCUCCACAAAGGAGAAGAGCCUGAAGUAGCCCCUUGUUGAAGCUAUAGCCUUCCAGGGCUAUGACGGCGAAACUUUUAACUCUGUGGACACAAGAUUCAGAAGUAUUUGUCCAGCCAUGUACAGUCCUUCUCAUAUCUCACGUGGCAUAACUGCCAGUUAGACCUCGCAAGUGUCGUGUGCUGAGAGUGUCCCACGUGACACACCAGCAAAGGGGGACUUUCUGUCCUUUACAGGGUCUGGAAAUAGGCUGGACACACACUUUACAUUAAAGCUGCAGUUCUGUA
Molecule: non-coding RNA, 1067 nt
Organism: Myodes glareolus (Bank vole)
Lineage: Eukaryota; Metazoa; Chordata; Mammalia; Rodentia; Cricetidae
Source: RefSeq, a predicted model, not a curated record